This 393-nucleotide long non-coding RNA is filed under the name Lathyrus oleraceus (garden pea). Its description in RNAcentral is "Pisum sativum (pea) long non-coding RNA (PSAT_LNC039730)". Lineage: Eukaryota; Viridiplantae; Streptophyta; Magnoliopsida; Fabales; Fabaceae. The record is from RNAcentral.
UCCUCAAAUAAUUCACACCUAAACAGGACAUAUUCAAGGUAUAGCAUGUCAAUUUUCAGCUCAAUUGGACAAAAGGAACUAUGUCAAUGAAAAUCAAGAAAAGCAGACACAAAUAUAUGAUCCAAAUCAUAGCAUCAACACAUGCAUUCACUUCAGAAAAUCAUAAGUCAAUGAAAACAAUAAAGAAAUGAAUGGGACCAAAAGCAUCAUGUCCUAUCAUGUGUCUACAACCAGCAUACCAAAUUUCAUCAUCAUCCAAUACCAUAUGAGCAUUUCACAAAGAUAAUACCAACAUAUGUCACACAAGCUUGCAUAUUUGACCAACAGAGAUGAAAAAUAUCAAUCAAAUUGAAAAUGCCACAUAAAAAUCCAGAAAAAUUCACAUAGCAUCUC